UGUUUUUGGAUUUUAUAGGUUUUCUCUUUAAGUAUGGAAACAAGGUAUCAUGUAUCUAAAAAUGCCCCAAUUCACUUUCAUUUCCACAACAGAAAUCUGAACAAUGGAUGAAGAAUUAGAAAAUGCCGUCAGCAGCCACAACGCAAUAACGUUUUCCAUGUUUUGUUUUCUGUGGGUAUUAUAUGAAUAUACUGCUCUGUAAAAACCUCCAGAAUCCAGAGUGGUAUUGUUAAUGCUGUGCGUUAAUUUCCAGUUUUUAAAUAUUGUUAUGCAAUAGUGUCCUGGUUUUUGGUACUUUUGGGUCUUAAUAUAAUUUUUUUAACACAUUGGUAUGUUAAUAGUCAGGAUGCUGUUAGCUUUGUGUGCUAAUAUCCAGGAUUUUUACAUGUUGUCAUGAUAAUAUGCAAAUAUUGUUAUUGGAUAACCUUCACAAUAUAAGGACAACCUGAACCUUGCUCACUUGUUUCUGAGUAUUUGCAGCUGAUUUGUUUUUGCCUUGAUAGAAAAAACGUUUUAAAGUAUAAAUUCAGGGAUAUUUUCAAGUUAUCUGGUCACAUUAAAAAGGAUUGUUGCCUCGUAAUGCUUUGAUAUGUUAAAUCCUAUUCAUUUAAAAUAGCUGCAUCCUUAUUAAUAAGUAAAUAAUUAUAUUUUGAGUUCAAAUUCAUGGUCUGUAAAUCAAUCUCUGAUAAGCACAAUACUUAGAUUAUAGUUUAUGUUAAUUGGGAAUAUUUUUCCCCACAGUUUAAAGGCACUUAAAGGCAGAAAAACAAUCUUCUCCGCUUAGUAGCAGCCUAUAAUUUGACAUAAAUGUCGGAGUUCAAGUUAUUGUUGUGUAUUAACAUUCAAUUUGUGAAUAAUUUAAUGCAAUAAUGUCCUGUUCUGUGUGCCUUGUUAUGUUUUUUGAAAAUGUUUAUUGCAUUGCCUCGGAUUAUUUACAAAUUAUUAUUUUCCUUUGAUGGAAUAAAACAUUAUCGAGUAUAAAUUCAGGGAUGUUGUCAUGUUAUUUUCUCUUUAAAGGCGUUUGUUGCCUCUUAAUAGCGUCACAUGUUGAAAUAUAUGAACAACAAACAGCUGCAUGAUUAUUUGUGAGUAAAUAACGACAUUUUGAGAUUGAAGAGGAUUCUCUUUCACAUGACGAGCACAUCAGUAAAACAUCUGUCCUGAGGAACAAACACCGUGUUCUCCUCUCUGAAUAAUUCCUCUUUUACUUUCACUCCGUCUAACGGGGCCUGUUGCUGCCGCUGAUGACGCAGGAAAACACCGCUGAGCAAGGCACCGUUCCCGGACAGGGACCGGGAGGAUCCGGGAGGAACAGGCGGAGCUGUUCGCCAGCUUCCAUUUGUGCGCUGCGCCACACACUGCGCGGCCUGCGGGGCUUCUACGCGGCUCGUUUCCGUGUCUGGCUCUUUAGACCGAGUCCAGACAACGCUGGCCCGGGCCCAGAUUGGGAUCUUUCAGAUUUCCUGGGGGGUUCUGUUGAUCUUUUCCCUCUAAAAACGCACAGCCCCGCCGCCCUCCCCCACCCGCAGCCCCUAGGAGCUCACCGAACAUAUGGAUGUGUCCCUUGGUGAUGGGGUUGAAGCUGCCGCAGGACAGCAGGAUGACGUGCGUUUUGGUGUUCUCUGUCAUGGUCCUUCCCUCCUCUGGGCUCUUCGGUCCUGUGUACCGGUCCGGUCCGGUCCCCGGUCCCGUGGUGGGUCGGGUGGUCGGUUUGUUUGUGGCAGGCGGCCGCUGCAGGGAGUCAAA
This is a long non-coding RNA of Acanthochromis polyacanthus (spiny chromis), 1746 nucleotides long. RefSeq lists it as uncharacterized. The record is from RefSeq and is a predicted model, not a curated record. NCBI's taxonomy places the organism in Eukaryota, Metazoa, Chordata, Actinopteri, Pomacentridae. The transcript has 2 exons.